AAAACGACUCUCGGCAACGGAUAUCUCGGCUCUCGCAUCGAUGAAGAACGUAGCGAAAUGCGAUACUUGGUGUGAAUUGCAGAAUCCCGUGAACCAUCGAGUCUUUGAACGCAAGUUGCGCCCGAAACCCGUUAGGCCGAGGGCACGUCUGCCUGGGCGUCAAA
RNAcentral lists this ribosomal RNA (164 nucleotides) under Barklya syringifolia. RNAcentral's name for it is "5.8S ribosomal RNA". It matches the Rfam family "5.8S ribosomal RNA". Rfam says of the family: 5.8S ribosomal RNA (5.8S rRNA) is a component of the large subunit of the eukaryotic ribosome. It is transcribed by RNA polymerase I as part of the 45S precursor that also contains 18S and 28S rRNA. Lineage: Eukaryota; Viridiplantae; Streptophyta; Magnoliopsida; Fabales; Fabaceae. The record is from RNAcentral.